UUCUCCAUGGACUUUACAGUGUUUCCUAGCCUCAGUGCAGUGGACAGCUGGGAGGAGGUGCUCUUAUUCUCCAUGGACUUUACAGUGUUUCCUAGCCUCAGUGCAGUGGGCAGCAGGGAGGAGGUGCUCUUAUUCUCCAUGGACUUUACAGUGUUUCCUAGCCUCAGUGCAGUGGGCAGCUGGGAGGAGGUGUUCUUAUUCUCCAUGGACUUUACAGUGUUUCCUAGCCUCAGUGCAGUGGACAGCUGGGAGGAGGUGCUCUUAUUCUCCAUGGACUUUACAGUGUUUCCUAGCCUCAGUGCAGUGGGCAGCUGGGAGGAGGUGCUCUUAUUCUCCAUGGACUUUACAGUGUUUCCUAGCCUCAGUGCAGUGGACAGCUGGGAGGAGGUGCUCUUAUUCUCCAUGGACUUUACAGUGUUUCCUAGCCUCAGUGCAGUGGGCAGCAGGGAGGA
Oncorhynchus keta (chum salmon) is the source of this 452-nucleotide long non-coding RNA. RefSeq lists it as uncharacterized. The transcript is spliced from 3 exons. Lineage: Eukaryota; Metazoa; Chordata; Actinopteri; Salmoniformes; Salmonidae. The record is from RefSeq and is a predicted model, not a curated record.